CCCGCACAAGCGGAGGAACAUGUGGUUAAUUCGAUGAUACACGAGGAACCUUACCUGGGCUUAAAUGUAGAGCGACAGACCGGGAAACUGGUCCUUCUUCGGACGAUCUACAAGGUGCUGCAUGGUUGUCGUCAGCUCGUGCCGUGAGGUGUCGGGUUAAGUCCCAUAACGAGCGCAACCCUUAUCGUUAGUUGCCAGCGGGUAAAGCCGGGAACUCUAGCGAAACUGCCGGUGUAAACCGAGAGGAAGGUGGGAUGACGUCAAAUCAGCACGGCCCUUAUGUCCAGGGCUACACACGUGUUACAAUGGCCGGUACAGAGGGCAGCUACCUGGAGACAGGAUGCGAAUCUCGAAAGCCGGUCUCAGUUCGGAUCGGAGUCUGCAACUCGACUCCGUGAAGCUGGAUUCGCUAGUAAUCGCGCAUCAGCCAUGGCGCGGUGAAUACGUUCCCGGGCCUU
This 458-nucleotide ribosomal RNA is filed under the name uncultured Sphingobacteriales bacterium. RNAcentral describes it as "bacterial SSU rRNA". It matches the Rfam family "Bacterial small subunit ribosomal RNA", at positions 920 to 1382 of the family's 1533-position model. Lineage: Bacteria; Pseudomonadati; Bacteroidota; Sphingobacteriia; Sphingobacteriales. The record is from RNAcentral.